GAUGAACGCUGGCGGCGUGCCUAAUACAUGCAAGUCGAGCGAACAGACGAGGAGCUUGCUCCUCUGACGUUAGCGGCGGACGGGUGAGUAACACGUGGAUAACCUACCUAUAAGACUGGGAUAACUUCGGGAAACCGGAGCUAAUACCGGAUAAUAUAUUGAACCGCAUGGUUCAAUAGUGAAAGACGGUUUUGCUGUCACUAAUAGAUGGAUCCGCGCCGCAUUAGCUAGUUGGUAAGGUAACGGCUUACCAAGGCGACGAUGCGUAGCCGACCUGAGAGGGUGAUCGGCCACACUGGAACUGAGACACGGCCCAGACUCCUACGGGAGGCAGCAGUAGGGAAUCUUCCGCAAUGGGCGAAAGCCUGACGGAGCAACGCCGCGUGAGUGAUGAAGGUCUUCGGAUCGUAAAACUCUGUUAUUAGGGAAGAACAAAUGUGUAAGUAACUAUGCACGUCUUGACGGUACCUAAUCAGAAAGCCACGGCUAACUACGUG
This 497-nucleotide ribosomal RNA is filed under the name uncultured bacterium. Its description in RNAcentral is "partial 16S ribosomal RNA". It matches the Rfam family "Bacterial small subunit ribosomal RNA", at positions 28 to 507 of the family's 1533-position model. The record is from RNAcentral.